This 74-nucleotide transfer RNA is filed under the name Flavobacteriales bacterium. RNAcentral's name for it is "tRNA-Thr". It matches the Rfam family "tRNA". Rfam says of the family: Transfer RNA (tRNA) molecules are approximately 80 nucleotides in length. Lineage: Bacteria; Pseudomonadati; Bacteroidota; Flavobacteriia; Flavobacteriales. The record is from RNAcentral.
GCCACAAUAGCUCAGUUGGUUAGAGCGUUGCUUUUGUAAAGCAAAGGUCGUGAGUUCAAUUCUCACUUGUGGCU